RNAcentral lists this ribosomal RNA (375 nucleotides) under uncultured bacterium. Its description in RNAcentral is "bacterial SSU rRNA". It matches the Rfam family "Bacterial small subunit ribosomal RNA", at positions 524 to 898 of the family's 1533-position model. The record is from RNAcentral.
UACGUAGGUGGCGAGCGUUGUCCGGAAUUACUGGGUGUAAAGGGAGCGCAGGCGGGAGAACAAGUCAGCUGUGAAAACUAUGGGCUUAACCCAUAAACUGCAGUUGAAACUGUUUUUCUUGAGUGGAGUAGAGGUAGGCGGAAUUCCGAGUGUAGCGGUGAAAUGCGUAGAUAUUCGGAGGAACACCAGUGGCGAAGGCGGCCUACUGGGCUCUAACUGACGCUGAGGCUCGAAAGUGUGGGGAGCAAACAGGAUUAGAUACCCUGGUAGUCCACACUGUAAACGAUGAUUGCUAGGUGUGGGGGGUCUGACCCCUUCCGUGCCGCAGCUAACGCAAUAAGCAAUCCACCUGGGGAGUACGGCCGCAAGGUUGAA